This 54-nucleotide microRNA precursor is filed under the name Heligmosomoides polygyrus. RNAcentral's name for it is "microRNA hpo-mir-10090 precursor". The record is from miRBase by way of RNAcentral. Lineage: Eukaryota; Metazoa; Nematoda; Chromadorea; Rhabditida; Heligmosomidae.
CGGCGAACAGCCUGUGAUGCCUCGCACCGAGGAAUCACAGUGCUUUCGUCCAGC